GGGUGCUAUACUGCAGUCGAGCGACUGAUUAGAAGCUUGCUUCUAUGACGUUAGCGGCGGACGGGUGAGUAACACGUGGGCAACCUGCCUGUAAGACUGGGAUAACUCCGGGAAACCGGAGCUAAUACCGGAUAACAUUUUCUCUUGCAUAAGAGAAAAUUGAAAGAUGGUUUCGGCUAUCACUUACAGAUGGGCCCGCGGUGCAUUAGCUAGUUGGUGAGGUAACGGCUCACCAAGGCAACGAUGCAUAGCCGACCUGAGAGGGUGAUCGGCCACACUGGGACUGAGACACGGCCCAGACUCCUACGGGAGGCAGCAGUAGGGAAUCUUCCGCAAUGGACGAAAGUCUGACGGAGCAACGCCGCGUGAGUGAUGAAGGCUUUCGGGUCGUAAAACUCUGUUGUUAGGGAAGAACAAGUACAAGAGUAACUGCUUGUACCUUGACGGUACCUAACCAGAAAGCCACGGCUAACUACGUGCCAGCAGCCGCGGUAAUACGUAGGUGGCAAGCGUUAUCCGGAAUUAUUGGGCGUAAAGCGCGCGCAGGCGGUUUCUUAAGUCUGAUGUGAAAGCCCACGGCUCAACCGUGGAGGGUCAUUGGAAACUGGGGAACUUGAGUGCAGAAGAGAAAAGCGGAAUUCCACGUGUAGCGGUGAAAUGCGUAGAGAUGUGGAGGAACACCAGUGGCGAAGGCGGCUUUUUGGUCUGUAACUGACGCUGAGGCGCGAAAGCGUGGGGAGCAAACAGGAUUAGAUACCCUGGUAGUCCACGCCGUAAACGAUGAGUGCUAAGUGUUAGAGGGUUUCCGCCCUUUAGUGCUGCAGCUAACGCAUUAAGCACUCCGCCUGGGGAGUACGGUCGCAAGACUGAAACUCAAAGGAAUUUGACGGGGGCCCGCACAAGCGGUGGGAGCAUGUGGUUUAAUUCGAAGCAACGCGAAGAACCUUACCAGGUCUUGACAUCCUCUGACAACUCUAGAAGAUAGAGCGUUCCCCUUCGGGGGACAGAGUGGAAAGGUGGGGGCAUGGUGUCGUCAGCUCGUGUUCGUGGGAGAAGGGUUGGGGUUAAGUCCCGCAACGAGCGCAACCCUUUGGAUCUUAGUUGCCAGCCAUUUUAGUUGGGCAACUCCUAAA
Molecule: ribosomal RNA, 1133 nt
Filed under: Bacteroidota bacterium
Lineage: Bacteria; Pseudomonadati; Bacteroidota
Description: bacterial SSU rRNA
Rfam family: Bacterial small subunit ribosomal RNA
Source: RNAcentral